Molecule: ribosomal RNA, 829 nt
Filed under: uncultured archaeon
Lineage: Archaea
Description: bacterial SSU rRNA
Rfam family: Archaeal small subunit ribosomal RNA
Source: RNAcentral
CGAUUAAGCCAUGCGAGUCGAGAGGGUUCGGCCCUCGGCGUACUGCUCAGUAACACGUGGAUAACCUGCCCUAGGGAAGGGGAUAACCCCGGGAAACUGGGGAUAAUACCCUAUAGAUUACAGAUGCUGGAAUGCCCUGUAAUCCAAAGUUCCGACGCCCUAGGAUGGAUCUGCGGCCGAUUAGGUUGUUGUUGGGGUAAUGGCCCAACAAGCCCGUAAUCGGUACGGGUUGUGGGAGCAAGAGCCCGGAGUUGGAUUCUGAGACACGAAUCCAGGCCCUACGGGGCGCAGCAGGCGCGAAAACUUUACAAUGCGGGCAACCGUGAUAAGGGAACCUCGAGUGCCUGUAAAUGCAGGCUGUUCAGGUGCCUAAAACACACCUGAAGAAAGGGCCGGGCAAGACCGGUGCCAGCCGCCGCGGUAAUACCGGCGGCUCGAGUGGUGGCCGCUUUUAUUGGGCUUAAAGCGUUCGUAGCUGGGUUGUUAAGUCUCUUGGGAAAUCUGGCGGCUUAACCGUCAGGCGUCUAAGGGAUACUGGCAAUCUUGGAACCGGGAGAGGUGAGGGGUACUUCGGGGGUAGGAGUGAAAUCCUGUAAUCCUCGAGGGACCACCUGUGGCGAAGGCGCCUCACCAGAACGGCUUCGACAGUGAGGGACGAAAGCUGGGGGAGCAAACCGGAUUAGAUACCCGGGUAGUCCCAGCCGUAAACUAUGCGCGUUAGGUGUAUCGGUGACCACGAGUUACCGAGGUGCCGAAGGGAAACCGUGAAACGUGCCGCCUGGGAAGUACGGUCGCAAGGCUGAAACUUAAAGGAAUUGGCGGGGGAGCA